RNAcentral lists this transfer RNA (72 nucleotides) under Camelus bactrianus (Bactrian camel). It matches the Rfam family "tRNA". Rfam says of the family: Transfer RNA (tRNA) molecules are approximately 80 nucleotides in length. Their secondary structure includes four short double-helical elements and three loops (D, anti-codon, and T loops). The record is from Rfam by way of RNAcentral. RNAcentral also lists the same sequence under 2 other names. Lineage: Eukaryota; Metazoa; Chordata; Mammalia; Artiodactyla; Camelidae.
GAGGGUACAGCUCAGUGAUAGAGCACGUGCCUAGCAUGGAUGAGGUCCUGGGUUCAACCCCCAAUAUCUCCA